This 125-nucleotide small RNA is filed under the name Marmota monax (woodchuck). The record is from RNAcentral. Lineage: Eukaryota; Metazoa; Chordata; Mammalia; Rodentia; Sciuridae.
GCCAGGUGUGGUGGCGCACGCCUGUAAUCCCAGCAUCUCAGGAGGCUGAGGCAGGAGGGUUGCAAGUUCAAAGCCAGCCCCAGCAACAGCGAGGAACUAAGCAUCUCAGUGAGACCCUGUCUCUA